GUUUUUAAUUAAAAUCUAGAAUGAAAGAUUGGAUGAAAUAAAAUCUUUUUUAUUUUUAUAAAUUGAAUUAUAUAUAUUAGUUAAAAAGCUAAUAUAUAAAAAAGGGACGAGAAGACCCUAUAGAAUUUUAUAAUUAAAAUAUAUUUUAAUAAAAUUUAAAAUAAAAUUUAUAUUUAAAUUAUUUUAUUGGGGAGAUAAUUAAAUUUAAUUAACUUUAAUUUUAAAAUUCAAUAAUAUUUGUAAAAAUGAUCUAUUUUUAAUGAUUUUAAAAAUAAAUUACCUUAGGGAUAACAGCAUAAUAAUUUUAAAAAGUUCUUAUUUUUAAAAUAGUUUAU
Molecule: ribosomal RNA, 335 nt
Filed under: Loewiola centaureae
Lineage: Eukaryota; Metazoa; Arthropoda; Insecta; Diptera; Cecidomyiidae
Description: partial 16S ribosomal RNA
Source: RNAcentral